Molecule: long non-coding RNA, 1052 nt
Organism: Aethina tumida (small hive beetle)
Lineage: Eukaryota; Metazoa; Arthropoda; Insecta; Coleoptera; Nitidulidae
Exons: 3
Source: RefSeq, a predicted model, not a curated record
ACAUAUCUGAUAUUAGUCUCUAUGUAUUCAUCAGAUUAACCUUUACUUAUAGAAGAUAUUGGGCAUCUUCCUCAAAGAGUACUUCUAGUUAUAUUCAAAUACGAUUAAUUCUUGACAGUAAUUAACUUAUAUAUUGUAUUUUUAUCUAUUAUUAUGGUUGUUUGACCAGGUUCCAUUUUAAAAAAAGGUUUACAAAGACAAGUAUUGAAACAAUUUAAAAAAUAUAUAUAAUUAUACCUACUUAAACUUGUAAAGUACCAGUAAUUAACUUAUAUAUUGUAUUUUUGUAAAUUUGUAUGGUUGUUUCGCCAGAAACCAUUUUAUAAAGAUGAUUUAUAAAGAGAAGUAUUGAAACACUUCUGAAAAAUUGUUUAUUGUAUCUACUAAAGACUUGUAAAGUACCAUUUGAAGCAUUGAAUCUGUUCUUGACUCUCUUCUAAAGUUGAUUUGAGAUUCCUAACAUCUGAUAUUAGUCUCUAUGUAUUCAUCAGAUUAACCUUUACUUAUAGAAGAUAUUGGGCUUCUUCCUCAAAGAGUACUUCUAGUUAUAUUCAAAUACGAUUAAUUCUUGACAGUAAUUAACUUAUAUAUUGUAUUUUUAUCUAUUAUUAUGGUUGUUUGACCAGGUUCCAUUUUAAAAAAAGGUUUACAAAGACAAGUAUUGAAACAAUUUAAAAAAUAUAUAUAAUUAUACCUACUUAAACUUGUAAAGUACCAGUAAUUAACUUAUAUAUUGUAUUUUUGUAAAUUUGUAUGGUUGUUUCGCCAGAAACCAUUUUAUAAAGAUGAUUUAUAAAGAGAAGUAUUGAAACACUUCUGAAAAAUUGUUUAUUGUAUCUACUAAAGACUUGUAAAGUACCAUUUGAAGCAUUGAAUCUGUUCUUGACUCUCUUCUAAAGUUGAUUUGAGAUUCCUAACAUCUGAUAUUAGUCUCUAUGUAUUCAUCAGAUUAACCUUUACUUAUAGAAGAUAUUGGGCUUCUUCCUCAAAGAGUACUUCUAGUUAUAUUCAAAUACGAUUAAUUCUUGACAGUAAUUAACUUAUAUAUUGUA